GCCAGUGUGGCUCAGUGGAUAGAGCAUCAGCCUGCAGACUGAAGGGAACCCGGUUCAAUUCCGGUCAAGGACA
Non-coding RNA from Myotis brandtii (Brandt's bat), 73 nucleotides. The record is from Rfam. NCBI's taxonomy places the organism in Eukaryota, Metazoa, Chordata, Mammalia, Chiroptera, Vespertilionidae.